CAGUAGGGAAUCUUCCACAAUGGGCGAAAGCCCGAUGGAGCAACGCCGCGUGUGUGAUGAAGGCUUUCGGGUCGUAAAGCACUGUUGUAUGGGAAGAACAGCUAGAAUAGGAAAUGAUUUUAGUUUGACGGUACCAUACCAGAAAGGGACGGCUAAAUACGUGCCAG
RNAcentral lists this ribosomal RNA (167 nucleotides) under uncultured bacterium. RNAcentral's name for it is "partial 16S rRNA". It matches the Rfam family "Bacterial small subunit ribosomal RNA", at positions 352 to 511 of the family's 1533-position model. The record is from RNAcentral.